GUGCAUUUCAGGCCAUUUAGAAAAAAACUAUCAACUACUACUAAGUAGUAAGAACCGUUUAAAGGACCAGCGAAAUCGAUGUGUAGUCUCGACCACGGA
Octopus sinensis (East Asian common octopus) is the source of this 99-nucleotide long non-coding RNA. RefSeq lists it as uncharacterized. Lineage: Eukaryota; Metazoa; Mollusca; Cephalopoda; Octopoda; Octopodidae. The transcript is spliced from 3 exons. The record is from RefSeq and is a predicted model, not a curated record.